UCGAGGAACUCGACUAUAGCGUUCUUUCUUAUUUAAAUAGAUCCAGCUGCUUGGCAAUAAGACCAUGCCUCAUGCAACGCGGGUGAACUUUGAAAACUUCGGUCACACUACAAAGAAUACGAUUUUUCGACUACUGAAACUCUUAGCCGAUCUGAGUACUAGGCUCAAAAACGAAGACGCAGAGCUACGCAGCGGUACUACGCGGGACUAAUCCAUAGAGGUGCAGAAACAUCGAUGAAAACAUCGAUGUUUUUUUGGACCAUCGAUGUUUCUAGGGCCCUCACUGUUCAAAGAAGAAGAAGGACAAAAGCACGCUAAAGCCACGUCAUGCGAGUCAGAAAGAGCCUUUAGCAAGGCGGGCCAAAUCAUUUCAGAUCGCCGUACCCGGUUGAAGUCCGGUAUCGUUGACCAACUUAUGUUUGUUAACAAGAAUUAUCAUAGCUUUCCAAAGAAAUCCCUUUAGAAACUAAGAUGAUCUCAAUAGACUGAACUUUUGUUUUUGUUUUUUUUUUAGUUUAGUUUUAAUACAAAUUCCAACAAUAUUUUUUAAAUUAUAUUUUAUGUUACAAUUAUGGAAUCAUCAUCAUCGAUGUUUUUUGAAAAACAUCGACGUUUCUGCACCUCUACUAACCCACCGAUCUUUAUUUUGCAUGCGAGCCACUACAAUAAUGGAAGGUAAAUUUUGAUUAGGUUAUUUUCACAAAUUUAAGAGUAGUUGUUUUUGGUUUAGACGACUGCAGAUAUCUACGAACCGCUUAAACAGGCUGCCUGUAAAUGCCUGUGAGUCCGAGAGGUGCUUUAGUAAAGCUAAAGAGAUACUGUCUGAUCGCCGCACAAAACUUAAACCACAUGUCGUAGAUAUGUUAACGUUCAUUAACAUAAAUGAAAAUAUACAUUCGUAACUAAGCUUUAUAUAAUACUGUUAUGUGAAUGUGAUCUCUUAGAAUACUGAUGAUUUUUUUAAAAUUUGUUUGCUGAAUAAAGCCAUUGUUUUUUGAUUUUAUGUAAACCGUAAAAGUCUUUAAGUUGCGUUAUAUUGGUUUACUAAUUUAUUUAAAAGCAAAAAAAUAUAUUAUAUUUUGGAAACAUCGAUGUUUAGUCGGUUCGAACAUCGAUGUUUCUCCACAUCCACAUCAUUACAUAUACUGUCGAAUUGUUGAUUCAUUGAGUUUCAAUCAGUUGGAUGAAUUAGGCCCAUUCAUUCAUAUUAUACUAUCAGAAAAAAUCUGCAUUUCUCAGUCUUUCGGCUGAGUCACUAAAAACCGAUCAUCACUGGAUUUUAUGAGUUAAGCGUCUUGUUUUUGUUCACAAUUCGCCGUCGUCCACGAUUUGUCUCUGUUGUCCUUUUGCAGUUAAGCCUAGUACUCAGAUCGGCUAAGAGUUUCACUAGUCGAAAAAUCGUAUUCUUUGUAGUCUGACCGAAGUUUUCAAAGUUCACCCGCAAUGCAUAUAGCAUAGUCUUACUGUCAAGUUUGUUGCCAAACGGAAAACAAAUCAAUUGGAGAAAUUUAAAAAGGAGGAGUCUGCUGGUACACAAAGAAAUUUAAAUAAAAAUAAAUGGAGUGUU
Non-coding RNA from Drosophila suzukii, 1567 nucleotides. The record is from RefSeq and is a predicted model, not a curated record. NCBI's taxonomy places the organism in Eukaryota, Metazoa, Arthropoda, Insecta, Diptera, Drosophilidae.